RNAcentral lists this long non-coding RNA (2274 nucleotides) under Homo sapiens (human). RNAcentral describes it as "HSALNT0304027". Lineage: Eukaryota; Metazoa; Chordata; Mammalia; Primates; Hominidae. The record is from RNAcentral.
UAUAUUAGUAAAAAUGAACCCACCUUACAUACUCUUGGGGUUUCGUUGAAAUGUUGAGAAGUUAAGAAACUUUGUUAGAUUAUUUUACUUAAUUUUUAAAAAAUAGCCUAUCAAGGAGUUUUCAAAACUUUUUAGGUGUAUAAACACCCUAUUUCGGAAACCACCGUAUUUUACACUUUCACUUCCCACCUACACCAGCUCAGUGACAAGAAAGUGUCUGAAACAAGGUGCAAAAUCAAGGUUCUCAGAAACACGCUUGGGACGUCUUGUUCCGCAGCUUGGCUGCUCUUUCCGCCCGGAGUGUCCUUAGCCUGUGCCCCUUUCGAACUCCGGCACUUUGUCUGCGGAGUAGCUCCAGCGCAGUCUCCCAGCGUUACCUGGCAGCCUCCUCCUUCCUGGAGCAGGAGAAGCGGCUCUGUCUCCUGUGUUCCAUCAUCGAUUAUGGCUGCUCUCACACUGGGUUAGGAAGGUUUGGUCACCUGAGUGCCUCCCUCCUCUGUGCUGUUGGACUCUAUGGUUUACAUACUCCUAGAUGCUAUUUUUUACAUACUCCUAAGUUUUCAACCUGAGAAAUCUGAAACCAUCCCCUAACCUUACCUGGUUACCUGUUGAAAAAUGUGUUAUCCCAGAGGUAGAUUCUUUGGGUCCUAGGCAUCUGGACUUGCAAGAGUCUCAUGUCAGUUUCAUGUGCUUACAAAGGUGAUAACAGAGAGGGACAUAGCUGUGAGUUUUUCCCAACGGCCAGUGAGUGCUUCGUUCCCUGUAUCAUGUUUUAUUUAUUUAUCUAUCCCCAGGGCUAGUGCAGUUUGGACAUAGGGUGCUAUGGGUUGAAUUACAUACUUGUCAAAUCCAUAUGUUGAAAUCUUAACCCCUAGUACCUCAGAAUGUGACAUUAUUUGGAGAGAGGGUAUUUAUAGAGGUAAUUAGGGGAAAAGGAGGUCUUUAGGGUGGGUCCUAAUUCAAUAUGACCGAUGUCCUUAUAUAGAGGGAAAAUCUGGACACAGAGCUGUAUACAUCCAGGGAGAACGUCAUCUGGAGAUGAAAGCAGAGAUCAGAGUGAUGCAGCUCCAAGACAUGGAAUGCUGAAGAUGGUGAGCAACCCACCAGAAGCCAGGAGAGAGCUGAAGAAAUGGAGGUGCUACUGGCUCAAGGAACCUGGAUUCAUUUAGAGAGUGUGCCCAGGAUGAGACGUGUGGAGAGCCUGGCCUGAACCAACACUAACAGUCUCCUGGACAGGAGAUAAGAAAAUGGAGGUCACGAGCUGGAGAACUCCUUGCUCAAGUUGCAUAGCUAAUAAGGGACUUAGCUGGGAUUCCUGGCCAGCAAUGUGGCUCCAGGCCUGGUUUCUAACUUCCCCUUCUUGGCAACCACCUUCACAGAGGAAUGCAAGAGGUGAGUGGAUUUGAUGUGAUAUUUUAUAUCAUGCCUAUUUCUAUCCACUUUCUCUGGAGUCCACUAAGAUUAAAGAAGGAGAGAAAUUCUCUAGUUCUACAGGAAGUGCGGGCUGUUUCCAGUGGGUCCUUGAAGUCCUUUGUCUGUUUCCAGUUUUUCCUUCAGGUCUUUUGAGCCCAGCUUCCCUCUGGCCAGCUCAGGCUCAGGGAGACGGGCAUACACCGGUGGCCUGGGUGACAGUGUGCAGCUGAUGAGCCACAGGACUUGGGCAGGCCAUAGUGGGUCAGGAGAGACUGGACGCUUCGUCUUUUAUGCUUCUGGGAUUUCUGUUGUGGCUUCUGUUUUCACCGCAUUUCAAAUCCUUUAAGUUAGGUCAUAUGGGGAAAAUGCUUGUGCUUCUCAUUUAUCUCCCUGGAGGCUAGCCUGGAUCUCUGAUGAGGAGGAGCACCAGGCCACUCCAUAACCACCGGGCUGCAGGAUCUCCAGGGCCACCCAGGAAGCCAAAAUCAGAACAGAGCUCCUUGCUGUGGGGGCUUUGCUCACCCUAGUUCUGGGAGCCAGCCAGCUCUAUCUUGGGGAUAUAACUUUCCAGGGACAAGAGAUGCCUGAUUUUGUGCAGACACCUGUGUCAUGGAGAGUAUUUCUUAUGUUCCAAGCAGAGAAGUUCAAAUUUACCAGUCUUCCUGUCACUCCACCCCCAAAAUCUGGCGACCCCACUCAGCUGUUUUUCAGGGCCCACCCUCAUGGCACCUUCUGGGGACUCCCUCUUUGCUACUGAGGUUGAGACCUAGCACUAGGUUUUGUGCUAGAAGCGCCUUGGGGGCAGAAACCCCCAUAUGCCAGCUGCCCAGGUCAGGACUGCAUGUUUUCCUACUCACCGCC